GCUUAAAUAGUUUAAUAAAAAUAUUGAUUUGUGGCAUCAAAGUUAUAAUGUGUUAUUUUAGGUA
RNAcentral lists this transfer RNA (64 nucleotides) under Jumnos ruckeri. RNAcentral's name for it is "tRNA-His". Lineage: Eukaryota; Metazoa; Arthropoda; Insecta; Coleoptera; Scarabaeidae. The record is from RNAcentral.